Molecule: unclassified non-coding RNA, 678 nt
Filed under: Hevea brasiliensis (rubber tree)
Lineage: Eukaryota; Viridiplantae; Streptophyta; Magnoliopsida; Malpighiales; Euphorbiaceae
Source: RNAcentral
CACUCACUUUCCAAGAUGCAGCAUGUCCGGAGAACUGGGAUUUCAUUGAAGACGAGGUGGUUGUUGUCAAAUGCUGCAAAAUCAUGCAACAAGUUGGAUUCUUUCUUGGAAUAUGUGCCUUCGAGAAGCUUAUCUGAUGUGGGUAUCGGUCAUUUCUCGUCAAUGGCUGCUGAAAGUGCUGCUUUCAAUGUUUCUGCUAAAAGGGAACUGGUAAAAUCAGGUUGUGCAAGGAGAUCAGUAUAUGCUGCUUAUCCUGCUGAGAAGGUUAUCGAUGAACCUGCUGGAAUUCUUGUUCUAUACAGAAAUAGAAGGAGCACACAAUGCUUAAUGACCUUCAGAUCACCGUUUCAGCUUGUCAAUACCACUGGCGUAAAUCCUCAAUCGUCUUGCUUUGCUAGAUUAUUUGCAUCAAAGGCUUCUGGAUCGAGGCAAAAGCAAUCAGAGGCUCGAAAGGAUGUUUCUACUGUUGAGGAUCCUUUUGAUGCUCCUACCUACAAUAUCCCAGAGAAGCCUGUAACGUUUACUGAGGGAGCUUCCUAUAGUCUUAUCAUUCUUGCUGGACUUGCAGUUGCCGGUGCUGCCGCAUAUGGAGUUUUUAAGGAACUCAUUUUUCAGCCAAAAGAGUACAAAAUUUUCAACAAAGGUCUCGAGAGGGUUCAAAAUGAUGGUCAAGUCAAG